Molecule: ribosomal RNA, 254 nt
Filed under: uncultured bacterium
Lineage: Bacteria
Description: partial 16S ribosomal RNA
Rfam family: Bacterial small subunit ribosomal RNA
Source: RNAcentral
UACGGGGGGAGCAAGCGUUGUUCGGAUUUACUGGGCGUAAAGGGCGCGUAGGCGGCCUCCGCAAGUCGACUGUGAAAUCUCCGGGCUUAACCCGGAAAGGUCAGCCGAAACUGCGGGGCUAGAGUGCAGAAGGGGCAACUGGAAUUCUCGGUGUAGCGGUGAAAUGCGUAGAUAUCAGGAGGAACACCGGUGGCGAAGGCGGAUCUCUGGGCCUGUCCUGACGCUGAGGCGCGAAAGCUAGGGGAGCGAACAGG